Molecule: ribosomal RNA, 490 nt
Filed under: uncultured bacterium
Lineage: Bacteria
Description: partial 16S ribosomal RNA
Rfam family: Bacterial small subunit ribosomal RNA
Source: RNAcentral
AUUGAACGCUGGCGGCAUGCCUUACACAUGCAAGUCGAACGGCAGCAUGAUCUAGCUUGCUAGAUUGAUGGCGAGUGGCGAACGGGUGAGUAAUACAUCGGAACGUGCCCUGUAGUGGGGGAUAACUAGUCGAAAGAUUAGCUAAUACCGCAUACGACCUGAGGGUGAAAGUGGGGGACCGCAAGGCCUCAUGCUAUAGGAGCGGCCGAUGUCUGAUUAGCUAGUUGGUGAGGUAAAGGCUCACCAAGGCGACGAUCAGUAGCUGGUCUGAGAGGACGAUCAGCCACACUGGGAAUGAGACACGGCCCAGACUCCUACGGGAGGCAGCAGUGGGGAAUUUUGGACAAUGGGCGAAAGCCUGAUCCAGCAAUGCCGCGUGUGUGAAGAAGGCCUUCGGGUUGUAAAGCACUUUUGUCCGGAAAGAAAUGGCUCUGGUUAAUACCUGGAGUCGAUGACGGUACCGGAAGAAUAAGGACCGGCUAACUACGUG